CAACGCUGGCGGCGUGCCUAACACAUGCAAGUCGAACGCGAAAGUGGAGCAAUCCAUGAGUAGAGUGGCAAACGGGUGAGUAACACGUGGGUGACCUGCCUUCGAGUGGGGGAUAACGUCCCGAAAGGGACGCUAAUACCGCAUAAUAUGCUGUCUUUUAAGAGAGAGACAUCAAAGCCGGGGACCGUAAGGCCUGGCGCUUGAAGAGGGGCCCGCGCCUGAUUAGCUAGUUGGUGGGGUAAUGGCUCACCAAGGCAACGAUCAGUAUCCGGCCUGAGAGGGCGGACGGACACACUGGGACUGAGACACGGCCCAGACUCCUACGGGAGGCAGCAGUGGGGAAUUGUUCGCAAUGGGCGCAAGCCUGACGACGCAACGCCGCGUGGAGGAUGAAGAUCUUCGGGUCGUAAACUCCUUUCGAUCGAGACGAAUGGCCCUUGGGAUAAUACCCUGAGGGAGUGACGGUACCGAGAGAAGAAGCCCCGGCUAACUCCGUG
Molecule: ribosomal RNA, 497 nt
Filed under: uncultured bacterium
Lineage: Bacteria
Description: bacterial SSU rRNA
Rfam family: Bacterial small subunit ribosomal RNA
Source: RNAcentral